This is a long non-coding RNA of Cygnus olor (mute swan), 1937 nucleotides long. RefSeq lists it as uncharacterized. NCBI's taxonomy places the organism in Eukaryota, Metazoa, Chordata, Aves, Anseriformes, Anatidae. The transcript is spliced from 5 exons. The record is from RefSeq and is a predicted model, not a curated record.
GAAGGUCAGCAUCAUUCAAAUUGUAUUAGUAAAGAAAAUAGUGUUUAAUCUACCUCCAGAGAAAAAGCAGUUGUGAUAUUAGCAAACACAGCAUCAAAGUAGAAAAGAGAGACUAAUCUGGAGAAAGAAAGAAAGAAACUAUCACAGCAACUGGGAAAACCUAGAAGAGAAGCUUCAACAGUGAGCUGGGAGAACCCUAGAAGAAUGCAGAGAAUGCUUUGCUACAUGGAAAGGAAUCCACAAGAAGGAAAAGCCCCCAAAAUAGCCUCACCAGACUUUGGAUCAGGCCCAUGAAAAUGCCAUGCUCUGGAUAAUGAUCAAAGAAGGGGCAAAAUGAAUCACCUCCAUUUCUGCAGCAAGGAGCUCUCUUGCAUCUGAAGACAGCCCCUAGGCUCUACAAGUUUGAUAACUUCCCAGCCAAUGAGUGAAUGUUCCUAUCCUCUCAGUUUUUAUCAUUCACUGACAAAUACUCCAGACACAUCCUUUGUUAAUUUGGAAGCUUUAAGAGAAAGCACCCCUCUCCCUGUUCAGGUAUCUUCUUGUUCGUCUGUUACAAGAUAGAGCGAAAAAGGAGAUCCUGACCUGUGUGGAAUCAUUCAGUAUUUUGCAGGCUCCUAUCUGCAUGGCUGCAAGGACUAACAAAUGCCUAUUUAAAAAUAUUUAUUUUUCAUUGUCGUAAAGUGAGAGUGAAAGCAAGCUGGCUGGAGGAAAAAAAAAAAAUCAAAACCAAGAAUCUCAGAAUCACAAAACUGGAUCCAGCACUCCAAGUAUGGCCUCACCAGCACUGACUGGAGUGGAAGGAUUGCCUCCCUUUACCUGCGGACAACUCUCCUCCUAAUGCAGCCCAGGACGCUGCCAGCCUUCUCUGCUGCUAUGGCACAUAGCUGUAGCAUGUUCAACCUGGUGUCCACCAGCACCCUCGGGUCCUUUUCUGCAAAGCUGGAAGUAGCUUGUCAUUCUAGAACUGUCAGCCUCUCCUCAGAAGAGGGAUUUGUGUGGGCACAAAUAAUUGCACAAUAAAGACCAAACAAACAUUCUUUGCAAAGAGGGAUUUAAACAUAUGUCCAUUGCAGCUCUGUCUUUGUUUUGGUUUCCCUAUAUAACCACUUGGGUAAAACAGACAGUGCGAUUACUACACUGGUUCUCAGAGCACGAUGUUUAGCUAUUGAUGCUAAAAGUCUUGCCUGGUUUUCUUCAGAACUACUGAACUGAUAAAGCCAGACCAAAAGGUCUCGCUGCCUCUUCUAAGAGUGUGCACAUAUGAGUGUGCAUGUGUGUGUGUGUAUUUUACGGCCAGCAGUUUUCUGCAGCAUCUCUUGUUUACUUUUGUGAUGGGCACUAGGCCAGGAAGACUGUCUGCCUCCAAUCUAAAUGAGCUUAUGACUUUACAGAACAUUUUUCACUGACAUUUUGGGGAUGAGAUAUGUGGACAGGCUAUCUGUGCAACUCUAGAGACAUCUAGACAAGUGAGGACUUGGACAGCUCUGAGUGCCUGCAUAUGCUGUGCUGUGUGUCAUAUAUACAGGAUUGAUUAUUCUCCUUUUACUGCAUUAAAGGACUGUGACCAGCUUGCCAGGACAAUGUUAAGAACAUUUGCAUGUUCCUUUGAAAGGAGCCUGAAGCUAUCCUAUGGCCUGUUGCACCAAUUCCCUAAAUGUAUGUUUUAAUUUAUGAUGUUGUCUACAGGUCCUGACAGCAGGGCUAGCAGACUGCAUCACUAAAUUAAACAAUGGCCUGUUCCCUACCAGGCAAGUUGAUGAAUGAGAGAUAAGGGCAUAGAAGAGUAAAAGAACAUAGGAAUCUAGCUGUCUAUCCUUUGCUAUUUUUUUCAUCGCAGGUAGGUCCCCUGUACAGGAAUUUUAUUUUAACAUGGAAUCCACUUCAGCUUCACUCUAUACCUACCGCAUUCACAAUUACGUAAGCAUCUCCAGGACGAA